AACCAUAGAAACCUGCGGAGUACCUGCGGAGGGAUCAUUACAAAUUAUGGUGAACCUCGUGAAAGCGAGGUUUUGCAUCCAUUAAUUUCGUAUUUAAAACAUCCGCUCUUAUAAAAAAUUAUUUUAUGAUAAAAUUAAAAAAAAGAUAACUUUCAACAACGGAUCU
Molecule: unclassified non-coding RNA, 166 nt
Filed under: soil metagenome
Description: partial contains 5.8S ribosomal RNA, internal transcribed spacer 2, and large subunit ribosomal RNA
Source: RNAcentral